UACGGAGGGUGCAAGCGUUAAUCGGAAUUACUGGGCGUAAAGGGUGCGUAGGUGGUUUAGUAAGUUAGCUGUGAAAUUCCUGGGCUUAACCUAGGGUGGUCAGCUAAGACUGUUAGACUUGAGUAUAGGAGAGGGUAGUGGAAUUUCCGGUGUAGCGGUGAAAUGCGUAGAGAUCGGAAGGAACACCAGUGGCGAAGGCGGCUCACUGGCCCGGUACUGACGCUGAGGUGCGAAAGCGUGGGGAGCAAACAGG
This 253-nucleotide ribosomal RNA is filed under the name uncultured bacterium. Its description in RNAcentral is "partial 16S ribosomal RNA". It matches the Rfam family "Bacterial small subunit ribosomal RNA", at positions 524 to 776 of the family's 1533-position model. The record is from RNAcentral.